AAUAUAAUUUUGGAUAAUAGGCACGGAAGAAUCUCUUAGAAGUUAGUCGAUCUGUUCAUUCAGUGCUCCGUGAAAGGUAAGUAAUGAAUCAUCUUCUCGAGAUAUUUCAUAUUUAUUCUGAAAAUAAAUAAUUAUUCUCUAAAAUUAUGCAUGAUUUAUGAAAUUAUGUUUUGAAAGAAAAGUGCGUUUGAAAUAUUAUGG
RNAcentral lists this long non-coding RNA (201 nucleotides) under Elaeis guineensis (African oil palm). RNAcentral describes it as "long non-coding RNA (EGUI_LNC050528)". Lineage: Eukaryota; Viridiplantae; Streptophyta; Magnoliopsida; Arecales; Arecaceae. The record is from RNAcentral.